This 271-nucleotide ribosomal RNA is filed under the name uncultured archaeon. RNAcentral describes it as "partial 16S ribosomal RNA". It matches the Rfam family "Archaeal small subunit ribosomal RNA", at positions 477 to 747 of the family's 1478-position model. The record is from RNAcentral.
CAGCGCCACGAGUGGCAACCAUAUUUAUUGGGCCUAAAGCGUCCGUAGCCGGUUUUGUAAAUUCUUUGUGAAAUCGUUUGGCUUAACCAAACGGCGUGCAGAGAAGACUGCAAAACUAGGGACCGGGAGGAGUCAGAAGUAUUUCUGGGGAAGCGGUAAAAUGCAAUAAUCCCAGAAGGACUACCUGUGGCGAAGGCGUCUGACUAGAACGGAUUCGACGGUGAGGGACGAAAGCCAGGGGAGCAAACAGGAUUAGAUACCCUGGUAGUCC